AAAAAAAGGGAACAUGAUGGUCUUCUUCUUCCUCCCUUCUUUCUUUGUCUUUCUCUCUUCCAUUGUUAGUGACUGGUGAUGUCGGCUCCGAUGACAGUGGCUCUCUCUUUUUCUUAUUCCUCAUCUUCGCUUUGUUUGUUUCAUAAUCGGAUCUUCUAGGGCUUUGAUUAAACCUGAAUCGAGACAUCCCCACAUAUCCCAGAUGGAGUCAACUCCUGUUAGAAGAUCGAUCACAGUCAUCUUCUUCCCGAUCUACAACCGAAUUUUCCAGGUCAAAAUUAUGUCAAAGAAAAAUAUCUUAAGUCGAAGAAGGCAAGUUACGAAUCUUGGGUACACGAAUUUGCUCAGCUCGCCAUUAAAACUGAUGUCCCGGCGGUGGUUAGAGAAUUUAGUCGGGCUCUGUCUAAUAUGUGUCCGGUUAUAUCUAUCUUUUUUUUUAAGAUGAUAAUUUUUUUCCCCAUUUAAUUCCCUCAUAUGUUCUGGGAAUUGGAGAAUUCAUGUACAGUUUGUUUGAUUUUCUUUUUUCAUUUGAGUAUGAAACUUUGAAAUGUCGAAUACUUUAGAUUUUUGAUAGGAUUUGAAUCUGCAGCUCAUUUAAAAAAAAAAAUCUGGAAUGGAAUAAGUAGGGGAAGAGGGAAGAAGACGGGGAAGGGGAUGAACCAUUGUCAUUUCAAUUUUUAUUUUUAUUUUUAUUUUUAUUUUGUUAGUUUUUGAUUAUAAAACUCUCUAAAUCAAACGAAACUGAUUUCAUACCAGUUUAAGUGGUUUUUUAUUGGUUUAGUUCAUAAACCGAUUAAAUUCAAAUUUGUGGAGAAAUUGGAAUAAAACUAUGGAUUCAGGGUGAAAUAAGAUUACAACUAUUGAUUCGGGAAGACAUAGAAAGAGGUUGGAAUUCUGGGUAGAUCCAAUAUGAUGUCAUAGUUCUCAGGGGGAAAUAGGAUGUCUAUCCGUUUCUUUUUUACAGGAGAAGUUCUGUUACAGAUAGUGUGUUGAGAGAUUCUUGAAGGUAAAAGGAGAUAAUGUGAAAAAAGCUGCGAAACAACUAACCUCAUGUCUUUCAUGGAGACUAAACUUCGAUCUUGAGCGAUUGGGAGCAGAGGAGUUAUUGUGAUUUUUUUUGCAUAAUCCAUCUUGAUUUCAUCUAAUAAAUAAUAUUUAAUGGUAACAAAAAUAUGAGGUUGAUUUUUGCAGGUUUUCCGGUUUAAGCAUGAUUAUCAGAAUCUGCGUACCCAAUAAGAAUAAGUUUAUAUGAUUAAUCAAAAACUGUUCCAGUUUUAUUGAUUUUGAUACUCUUCACAACGUAAUUUUUAAAAAACUUUUUUUGUUGGGGAAGCUUUACGCGUUUGGUGGCGUUUACGAUGGAUACUGCGAUCUCAAGCAUGACCAGAAACGUGGAACAGAGUGUUGUUCUUCUCUUCGAUGCAAGUACAAGUAUGCUAACUCUAUGCUAUUACCGUAUUUUGGGUUUAUAGUUUUUAGUUUUUUUUGGAAUGAGUUCAUUCGUUUGUGUCGGGGACGGGACACUCGGACAUGUAUGUAGUAUAGUUAUGCAUUAAUUUGAUGUUCGGACUUGUCUUCCAAUUCAUGUGUCAACGUCAAUGCUUUUGUAAUUA
Molecule: long non-coding RNA, 1613 nt
Organism: Camelina sativa (false flax)
Lineage: Eukaryota; Viridiplantae; Streptophyta; Magnoliopsida; Brassicales; Brassicaceae
Source: RefSeq, a predicted model, not a curated record